UACGUAGGGCGCAAGCGUUGUCCGGAAUUAUUGGGCGUAAAGGGCUCGUAGGCGGUUUGUCGCGUCGGGAGUGAAAACCCAGGGCUUAACCCUGGGCUGGCUUCCGAUACGGGCAGACUAGAGGUAUGCAGGGGAGAACGGAAUUCCUGGUGUAGCGGUGAAAUGCGCAGAUAUCAGGAAGAACACCCGUGGCGAAAGCGGCUCUCUGGAACGGUACUGACGCUGAGACGCGAAAGCGUGGGGAGCGAACAGG
This 253-nucleotide ribosomal RNA is filed under the name uncultured bacterium. Its description in RNAcentral is "partial 16S ribosomal RNA". It matches the Rfam family "Bacterial small subunit ribosomal RNA", at positions 524 to 776 of the family's 1533-position model. The record is from RNAcentral.